AUAUAAUGUAAACAAUAAAAAUUGUUGCUAUUAUUUACUGAAUGCAUAUGUACAUAAAAUACAAAAACAAUCAAUGUGUCCCACAUCCUGUAUGCUUUAAUGCAGCCGUUGGCCUGAGGUGCAUCCCAUCCCGCCCGGCUACGCUAUCAGGAUCAUCCUCAUCAGAUCGCCUCUUUAUUGGAGGAUGCGCUGCAGCAUGAUCGUUAGUAGGACUGGCAGGCUAGGUAGAAGCGGUCGUCGGUCUAGUAAUAACCUACAGAAUAACAAAAUAUUUUAGUAUAUGAAAUAUAUAUUAGUAACGUACGUGUUAAGUCACAAAAAAUUAAAUUAUCUUACCAAGGUCUCGUCGG
Molecule: long non-coding RNA, 350 nt
Filed under: Nicotiana tabacum (common tobacco)
Lineage: Eukaryota; Viridiplantae; Streptophyta; Magnoliopsida; Solanales; Solanaceae
Description: long non-coding RNA (NTAB_LNC016016)
Source: RNAcentral